This 2899-nucleotide ribosomal RNA is filed under the name Klebsiella pneumoniae. RNAcentral describes it as "23S ribosomal RNA". It matches the Rfam family "Bacterial large subunit ribosomal RNA". Lineage: Bacteria; Pseudomonadati; Pseudomonadota; Gammaproteobacteria; Enterobacterales; Enterobacteriaceae. The record is from RNAcentral.
UUAAGCGACUAAGCGUACACGGUGGAUGCCCUGGCAGUCAGAGGCGAUGAAGGACGUGCUAAUCUGCGAAAAGCGUCGGUAAGGUGAUAUGAACCGUUAUAACCGGCGAUGUCCGAAUGGGGAAACCCAGUGCAAUUCGUUGCACUAUCGUUAACUGAAUACAUAGGUUAACGAGGCGAACCGGGGGAACUGAAACAUCUAAGUACCCCGAGGAAAAGAAAUCAACCGAGAUUCCCCCAGUAGCGGCGAGCGAACGGGGAGCAGCCCAGAGUCUGAAUCAGCUUGUGUGUUAGUGGAACGGUCUGGAAAGUCCGACGGUACAGGGUGAUAGUCCCGUACACCAAAAUGCACAGGUUGUGAACUCGAAGAGUAGGGCGGGACACGUGGUAUCCUGUCUGAAUAUGGGGGGACCAUCCUCCAAGGCUAAAUACUCCUGACUGACCGAUAGUGAACCAGUACCGUGAGGGAAAGGCGAAAAGAACCCCGGCGAGGGGAGUGAAAAAGAACCUGAAACCGUGUACGUACAAGCAGUGGGAGCACCUUCGGGUGUGACUGCGUACCUUUUGUAUAAUGGGUCAGCGACUUAUAUUCUGUAGCAAGGUUAACCGUAUAGGGGAGCCGCAGGGAAACCGAGUCUUAACUGGGCGUUAAGUUGCAGGGUAUAGACCCGAAACCCGGUGAUCUAGCCAUGGGCAGGUUGAAGGUUGGGUAACACUAACUGGAGGACCGAACCGACUAAUGUUGAAAAAUUAGCGGAUGACUUGUGGCUGGGGGUGAAAGGCCAAUCAAACCGGGAGAUAGCUGGUUCUCCCCGAAAGCUAUUUAGGUAGCGCCUCGUGAAUUCAUCUUCGGGGGUAGAGCACUGUUUCGGCUAGGGGGUCAUCCCGACUUACCAACCCGAUGCAAACUACGAAUACCGAAGAAUGUUAUCACGGGAGACACACGGCGGGUGCUAACGUCCGUCGUGAAGAGGGAAACAACCCAGACCGCCAGCUAAGGUCCCAAAGUCAUGGUUAAGUGGGAAACGAUGUGGGAAGGCACAGACAGCCAGGAUGUUGGCUUAGAAGCAGCCAUCAUUUAAAGAAAGCGUAAUAGCUCACUGGUCGAGUCGGCCUGCGCGGAAGAUGUAACGGGGCUAAACCAUGCACCGAAGCUGCGGCAGCGACACUAUGUGUUGUUGGGUAGGGGAGCGUUCUGUAAGCCUGCGAAGGUGACCUGUGAGGGUUGCUGGAGGUAUCAGAAGUGCGAAUGCUGACAUAAGUAACGAUAAAGCGGGUGAAAAGCCCGCUCGCCGGAAGACCAAGGGUUCCUGUCCAACGUUAAUCGGGGCAGGGUGAGUCGACCCCUAAGGCGAGGCCGAAAGGCGUAGUCGAUGGGAAACAGGUUAAUAUUCCUGUACUUGGUGUUACUGCGAAGGGGGGACGGAGAAGGCUAUGUUAGCCGGGCGACGGUUGUCCCGGUUUAAGCAUGUAGGCUGGUUGUCCAGGCAAAUCCGGAUAAUCAAGGCUGAGGUGUGAUGACGAGGCACUACGGUGCUGAAGUAACAAAUGCCCUGCUUCCAGGAAAAGCCUCUAAGCAUCAGGUAACAUCAAAUCGUACCCCAAACCGACACAGGUGGUCAGGUAGAGAAUACCAAGGCGCUUGAGAGAACUCGGGUGAAGGAACUAGGCAAAAUGGUGCCGUAACUUCGGGAGAAGGCACGCUGGUGUGUAGGUGAAGUCCCUGCGGAUGGAGCUGAGACCAGUCGAAGAUACCAGCUGGCUGCAACUGUUUAUUAAAAACACAGCACUGUGCAAACACGAAAGUGGACGUAUACGGUGUGACGCCUGCCCGGUGCCGGAAGGUUAAUUGAUGGGGUUAUCCGUAAGGAGAAGCUCUUGAUCGAAGCCCCGGUAAACGGCGGCCGUAACUAUAACGGUCCUAAGGUAGCGAAAUUCCUUGUCGGGUAAGUUCCGACCUGCACGAAUGGCGUAAUGAUGGCCAGGCUGUCUCCACCCGAGACUCAGUGAAAUUGAACUCGCUGUGAAGAUGCAGUGUACCCGCGGCAAGACGGAAAGACCCCGUGAACCUUUACUAUAGCUUGACACUGAACAUUGAGCCUUGAUGUGUAGGAUAGGUGGGAGGCUUUGAAGCGUGGACGCCAGUCUGCGUGGAGCCAACCUUGAAAUACCACCCUUUAAUGUUUGAUGUUCUAACGUUGGCCCCUUACCGGGGUUGCGGACAGUGUCUGGUGGGUAGUUUGACUGGGGCGGUCUCCUCCCAAAGCGUAACGGAGGAGCACGAAGGUUAGCUAAUCCUGGUCGGACAUCAGGAGGUUAGUGCAAUGGCAUAAGCUAGCUUGACUGCGAGCGUGACGGCGCGAGCAGGUGCGAAAGCAGGUCAUAGUGAUCCGGUGGUUCUGAAUGGAAGGGCCAUCGCUCAACGGAUAAAAGGUACUCCGGGGAUAACAGGCUGAUACCGCCCAAGAGUUCAUAUCGACGGCGGUGUUUGGCACCUCGAUGUCGGCUCAUCACAUCCUGGGGCUGAAGUAGGUCCCAAGGGUAUGGCUGUUCGCCAUUUAAAGUGGUACGCGAGCUGGGUUUAGAACGUCGUGAGACAGUUCGGUCCCUAUCUGCCGUGGGCGCUGGAGAAUUGAGGGGGGCUGCUCCUAGUACGAGAGGACCGGAGUGGACGCAUCACUGGUGUUCGGGUUGUCAUGCCAAUGGCACUGCCCGGUAGCUAAAUGCGGAAGAGAUAAGUGCUGAAAGCAUCUAAGCACGAAACUUGCCCCGAGAUGAGUUCUCCCUGAGACUUUAAGUCUCCUGAAGGAACGUUAAAGACGAUGACGUUGAUAGGCCGGGUGUGUAAGCGCAGCGAUGCGUUGAGCUAACCGGUACUAAUGAACCGUGAGGCUUAACCU